This 497-nucleotide ribosomal RNA is filed under the name uncultured bacterium. RNAcentral describes it as "partial 16S ribosomal RNA". It matches the Rfam family "Bacterial small subunit ribosomal RNA", at positions 28 to 507 of the family's 1533-position model. The record is from RNAcentral.
GAUGAACGCUGGCGGCGUGCCUAAUACAUGCAAGUCGAGCGAACAGAUGAGGAGCUUGCUCCUCUGACGUUAGCGGCGGACGGGUGAGUAACACGUGGAUAACCUCCCUAUAAGACUGGGAUAACUUCGGGAAACCGGAGCUAAUACCGGAUAAUAUAUUGAACCGCAUGGUUCAAUAGUGAAAGACGGUUUUGCUGUCACUUAUAGAUGGAUCCCCGCCGCAUUAGCUAGUUGGUAAGGUAACGGCUUACCAAGGGAACGAUGCGUAUCCGACCUGAUAGGGUGAUCGGCCACAUGGGAACGGAGACACGCUCCAGACUCCUACGGGAGGCCGCAGUAGGGAAUCUGCCGCAAUGGGCGAGAGCCUGACGGAACAACGCCGCGUGAGUGAUGAAGGUCUUCGGAUCGUAAAACUCUGUUAUUAGGGAAGAACAAAUGUGUAAGUAACUAUGCACUUCUUGACGGUACCUAAUCAGAAAGCCACGGCUAACUACGUG